Molecule: ribosomal RNA, 1346 nt
Filed under: uncultured bacterium
Lineage: Bacteria
Description: partial 16S ribosomal RNA
Rfam family: Bacterial small subunit ribosomal RNA
Source: RNAcentral
GACGAACGCUGGCGGCGUGCUUAACACAUGCAAGUCGAACGGAAAGGCCCUGCUUUUGUGGGGUGCUCGAGUGGCGAACGGGUGAGUAACACGUGAGUAACCUGCCCUUGACUUUGGGAUAACUUCAGGAAACUGGGGCUAAUACCGGAUAGGAGCUCCUGCUGCAUGGUGGGGGUUGGAAAGUUUCGGCGGUUGGGGAUGGACUCGCGGCUUAUCAGCUUGUUGGUGGGGUAGUGGCUUACCAAGGCUUUGACGGGUAGCCGGCCUGAGAGGGUGACCGGCCACAUUGGGACUGAGAUACGGCCCAGGCUCCUACGGGAGGCAGCAGUGGGGAAUAUUGCACAAUGGGCGGAAGCCUGAUGCAGCAACGCCGCGUGCGGGAUGACGGCCUUCGGGUUGUAAACCGCUUUCGCCUGUGACGAAGCGUGAGUGACGGUAAUGGGUAAAGAAGCACCGGCUAACUACGUGCCAGCAGCCGCGGUGAUACGUAGGGUGCGAGCGUUGUCCGGAUUUAUUGGGCGUAAAGGGCUCGUAGGUGGUUGAUCGCGUCGGAAGUGUAAUCUUGGGGCUUAACCCUGAGCGUGCUUUCGAUACGGGUUGACUUGAGGAAGGUAGGGGAGAAUGGAACUCCUGGUGGAGCGGUGGAAUGCGCAGAUAUCAGGAGGAACACCAGUGGCGAAGGCGGUUCUCUGGGCCUUUCCUGACGCUGAGGAGCGAAAGCGUGGGGAGCGAACAGGCUUAGAUACCCUGGUAGUCCACGCUGUAAACGGUGGGUACUAGGUGUGGGGUCCAUUCCACGGGUUCCGUGCCGUAGCUAACGCUUUAAGUACCCCGCCUGGGGAGUACGGCCGCAAGGCUAAAACUCAAAGGAAUUGACGGGGCCCCGCACAAGCGGCGGAGCAUGCGGAUUAAUUCGAUGCAACGCGUAGAACCUUACCUGGGUUUGACAUGGAUCGGGAGUGCUCAGAGAUGGGUGUGCCUCUUUUGGGGUCGGUUCACAGGUGGUGCAUGGCUGUCGUCAGCUCGUGUCGUGAGAUGUUGGGUUAAGUCCCGCAACGAGCGCAACCCUUGUUCACUGUUGCCAGCACGUUAUGGUGGGGACUCAGUGGAGACCGCCGGGGUCAACUCGGAGGAAGGUGGGGAUGACGUCAAGUCAUCAUGCCCCUUAUGUCCAGGGCUUCACGCAUGCUACAAUGGCUGGUACAGAGAGUGGCGAGCCUGUGAGGGUGAGCGAAUCUCGGAAAGCCGGUCUCAGUUCGGAUUGGGGUCUGCAACUCGACCUCAUGAAGUCGGAGUCGCUAGUAAUCGCAGAUCAGCAACGCUGCGGUGAAUACGUUCCCGGGGCU